This 115-nucleotide small RNA is filed under the name Epilithonimonas xixisoli. Its description in RNAcentral is "Chryseobacterium xixisoli Flavo-1 RNA". It matches the Rfam family "Flavo-1 RNA". The record is from RNAcentral. Lineage: Bacteria; Pseudomonadati; Bacteroidota; Flavobacteriia; Flavobacteriales; Weeksellaceae.
ACAUAGCCCCGAUGGGAACGGCAUCCUUUUUUGUGAUUGCGAAAAAAAUGUUUGAUUGGAUUGAUUAUCGUCGCUCGCAAUCACAAAAAAGAUAUAGUGGACAGCGGGUUGGAAU